Molecule: ribosomal RNA, 571 nt
Filed under: Talaromyces ruber
Lineage: Eukaryota; Fungi; Ascomycota; Eurotiomycetes; Eurotiales; Trichocomaceae
Also listed under: 3 other names
Description: eukaryotic LSU rRNA
Rfam family: Eukaryotic large subunit ribosomal RNA
Source: RNAcentral
AAACCAACCGGGAUUGCCUCAGUAACGGCGAGUGAAGCGGCAAGAGCUCAAAUUUGAAAUCUGGCCCCCUCGGGGUCCGAGUUGUAAUUUGCAGAGGAUGCUUCGGGUGCGGUCCCCAUCUAAGUGCCCUGGAACGGGCCGUCAUAGAGGGUGAGAAUCCCGUCUGGGAUGGGCGGCCGCGCCCGUGUGAAGCUCCUUCGACGAGUCGAGUUGUUUGGGAAUGCAGCUCUAAGCGGGUGGUAAAUUUCAUCUAAAGCUAAAUACUGGCCGGAGACCGAUAGCGCACAAGUAGAGUGAUCGAAAGAUGAAAAGCACUUUGAAAAGAGAGUUAAACAGCACGUGAAAUUGUUGAAAGGGAAGCGUUGUCCACCAGACUCGCCCGGGGGGGUUCAGCCGGCACGUGUGCCGGUGUACUCCUCUCCGGGCGGGCCAGCAUCGGUUUGGGCGGCUGGUGAAAGGCCCCGGGAAUGUACCACCCUCCGGGGUGUCUUAUAGCCCGGGGUGCCAUACAGCCAGCCUGGACCGAGGCCCGCGCUUCGGCGAGGAUGCUGGCGUAAUGGUGGUCAACGGC